This 873-nucleotide long non-coding RNA is filed under the name Citrus maxima (pomelo). RNAcentral's name for it is "long non-coding RNA (CMAX_LNC001087)". Lineage: Eukaryota; Viridiplantae; Streptophyta; Magnoliopsida; Sapindales; Rutaceae. The record is from RNAcentral.
UAUUUCUCUUAUUGAUAUGGAAAGCAAUGUGCAUUUUCUUGAGAUUUUCUGCAGUUUGUUCUUCCUGUCACGUGGUCUUAUGGGCGGAAAUAUGGAGUAACUUUAGAACAGUUAGCUUCAUGGUGGAGUGAGAGACCUGCCAAGCUUGCUGGACAAGUUUCAAAGGUACAAAUUAAUUUAUCAAGUCAAUAAUUCCGCUAAAGUAACAGCCAGGGUACGUAUUAGAUGAUACCAUAUUUUUCACUCCACGUUAAUCUGAAAUACCUUUUGCAGGGUGCCAUUGCAAUUGGAAAUCAUGCAGACCUAGUUGUAUGGGAACCUGAAGCGGAGUUUGAACUUGACAAUGACCAUCCUGUACACAUGAAGCAUCCUGUAUGUAAUCGUAUAUAUUCUUCUUCUUACAGCGACAGCCGACAGUCGUGAAAACAGCAAUUGCCCUUGUUUUCUGAUUUCUGUAAUAUCUAUUAUAUGCAGAACAUCUCCGCCUAUUUGGGAAGAAGACUCUCUGGGAAAGUACUGGCCACAAUUUCAAGGGGAAACCUCGUAUACAAAGAGGGAAAUCAUGCUCCUGCAGCUUGUGGUUCUCCAAUCCUGGCAACAUGAACAUACGAAUUAGAAUUAAUAUGUAAUUUCCCAUAACUAACCUCGAAAAGUUAUUUUAAUCUCUCUAAUUAGAUUUUCUUUUCCCCUUGUUGUGUGUUUCUUCAAUUAUCGACUUCGAAUUACCUCAUCUCUUCACACUGUUGUUCUCUCCAGAUUUCUCAUAGGUAGAGGAUUAAUCUCACUUGCUUCAUCAAAAACACCAUCUCUGUGAAGGAGGUAGAGUUUCCACCGCCCCAGGAGCUGAUGGGGUUGAAUGGCGUUAUAAAUUUG